ACGGAGGGUGCAAGCGUUAAUCGGAAUUACUGGGCGUAAAGCGUGCGCAGGCGGUUUGUUAAGUCUGUUGUGAAAUCCCCGAGCUCAACUUGGGAAUUGCAAUGGAUACUGGCAAGCUGGAGUAUGGUAGAGGAAGGUGGAAUUCCCGGUGUAGCAGUGAAAUGCGUAGAGAUCGGGAGGAACAUCUGUGGCGAAGGCGACUACCUGGACCAGCACUGACACUGAGGCACGAAAGCGUGGGGAGCAAACAGGA
RNAcentral lists this ribosomal RNA (253 nucleotides) under uncultured prokaryote. Its description in RNAcentral is "partial 16S ribosomal RNA". It matches the Rfam family "Bacterial small subunit ribosomal RNA", at positions 525 to 777 of the family's 1533-position model. The record is from RNAcentral.